This is a long non-coding RNA of Bos taurus (domestic cattle), 517 nucleotides long. The record is from Ensembl. NCBI's taxonomy places the organism in Eukaryota, Metazoa, Chordata, Mammalia, Artiodactyla, Bovidae.
CCUGUAUAUUUGUGAUUUCCACGAGAAUUUCAUCCAGAGUGUACAAAAUAAAAGGCAGAGAAAGACAACUGACGAUGGCGGAGAUUCUCCUGAGCACGACACAGACAUUCCUGAGGUUGAUCUGUUCCAGCUGCAGGCCUAAUCACAUCUGGGACUCAGGAAACCUCCUUUCCAGGCGUGGCAGUCAGAGUAUCUCAAGAUGAAGGAAAAAGCGUUUUCCCUUGAAUGCUGGCUGUUGUUUCAUCUUCUACUACUUAUAGGAAAUGGAUUUUAGUUCCCUGACCACAGAUUGAACCCACGCCCUUGGCACUGAAAGCACAGAGUCCUAAGCACGGGAUCACCAGGAAAUUCCUCUUUUUUCUCUUGACCUUGAUCGUAACCCUAAUCAGAGGCAUUAACAAGGAAUUUUUGGACUCUUCCUCUAAAUCUAAAUUUGUGAUAUUUAUGCUAGUCCAGAUGAUACUAUGAAAGGAAUAAGUAAGGGGAAGAAAACCACAUCCUAGCAGGAGAACAGAGC